Molecule: ribosomal RNA, 657 nt
Filed under: Escherichia coli
Lineage: Bacteria; Pseudomonadati; Pseudomonadota; Gammaproteobacteria; Enterobacterales; Enterobacteriaceae
Description: bacterial SSU rRNA
Rfam family: Bacterial small subunit ribosomal RNA
Source: RNAcentral
AAAUUGAAGAGUUUGAUCAUGGCUCAGAUUGAACGCUGGCGGCAGGCCUAACACAUGCAAGUCGAACGGUAACAGGAAGAAGCUUGCUUCUUUGCUGACGAGUGGCGGACGGGUGAGUAAUGUCUGGGAAACUGCCUGAUGGAGGGGGAUAACUACUGGAAACGGUAGCUAAUACCGCAUAACGUCGCAAGACCAAAGAGGGGGACCUUCGGGCCUCUUGCCAUCGGAUGUGCCCAGAUGGGAUUAGCUAGUAGGUGGGGUAACGGCUCACCUAGGCGACGAUCCCUAGCUGGUCUGAGAGGAUGACCAGCCACACUGGAACUGAGACACGGUCCAGACUCCUACGGGAGGCAGCAGUGGGGAAUAUUGCACAAUGGGCGCAAGCCUGAUGCAGCCAUGCCGCGUGUAUGAAGAAGGCCUUCGGGUUGUAAAGUACUUUCAGCGGGGAGGAAGGGAGUAAAGUUAAUACCUUUGCUCAUUGACGUUACCCGCAGAAGAAGCACCGGCUAACUCCGUGCCAGCAGCCGCGGUAAUACGGAGGGUGCAAGCGUUAAUCGGAAUUACUGGGCGUAAAGCGCACGCAGGCGGUUUGUUAAGUCAGAUGUGAAAUCCCCGGGCUCAACCUGGGAACUGCAUCUGAUACUGGCAAGCUUGAGU